RNAcentral lists this ribosomal RNA (397 nucleotides) under Cryptosporidium environmental sequence. RNAcentral's name for it is "SSU rRNA". It matches the Rfam family "Eukaryotic small subunit ribosomal RNA", at positions 674 to 1075 of the family's 1831-position model. The record is from RNAcentral. Lineage: Eukaryota; Apicomplexa; Conoidasida; Eucoccidiorida; Cryptosporidiidae.
UGUUAAUAAUUUAUAUAUAAUAUUUUAAUUAAUAUUUAUAUAAUAUUAACAUAAUUCAUAUUACUAUAUUWUUUUUAGUAUAUGAAAUUUUACUUUGAGAAAAUUAGAGUGCUUAAAGCAGGCAUAUGCCUUGAAUACUCCAGCAUGGAAUAAUAUUAAAGAUUUUUAUCUUUUUUAUUGGUUCUAAGAUAAGAAUAAUGAUUAAUAGGGACAGUUGGGGGCAUUUGUAUUUAACAGUCAGAGGUGAAAUUCUUAGAUUUGUUAAAGACAAACUAAUGCGAAAGCAUUUGCCAAGGAUGUUUUCAUUAAUCAAGAACGAAAGUUAGGGGAUCGAAGACGAUCAGAUACCGUCGUAGUCUUAACCAUAAACUAUGCCAACUAGAGAUUGGAGGUUGUU